RNAcentral lists this transfer RNA (73 nucleotides) under Stegodyphus mimosarum. It matches the Rfam family "tRNA". Rfam says of the family: Transfer RNA (tRNA) molecules are approximately 80 nucleotides in length. Their secondary structure includes four short double-helical elements and three loops (D, anti-codon, and T loops). Lineage: Eukaryota; Metazoa; Arthropoda; Arachnida; Araneae; Eresidae. The record is from Rfam by way of RNAcentral.
GCCUUCGUGGUGUAGUGGUUAUCACGAUGGGCACGUAUUCCAGAGGUCCGCGGUUCGAGUCCCGGUGAAGGCG